This 510-nucleotide ribosomal RNA is filed under the name uncultured bacterium. RNAcentral's name for it is "partial 16S ribosomal RNA". It matches the Rfam family "Bacterial small subunit ribosomal RNA", at positions 28 to 507 of the family's 1533-position model. The record is from RNAcentral.
GACGAACGCUGGCGGCGUGCUUAACACAUGCAAGUCGAACGAAGAGCGACGGAAGCUUGCUUCUAUCAAUCUUAGUGGCGAACGGGUGAGUAACGCGUAAUCAACCUGCCCUUCAGAGGGGGACAACAGUUGGAAACGACUGCUAAUACCGCAUACGAUCUAACCUCGGCAUCGAGGAUAGAUGAAAGGUGGCCUCUACAUGUAAGCUAUCACUGAAGGAGGGGAUUGCGUCUGAUUAGCUAGUUGGAGGGGUAACGGCCCACCAAGGCGAUGAUCAGUAGCCGGCCGGAGAGGAUGAACGGCCACAUUGGGACUGAGACACGGCCCAGACUCCUACGGGAGGCAGCAGUGGGGAAUCUUCCGCAAUGGACGAAAGUCUGACGGAGCAACGCCGCGUGAGUGAUGACGGCCUUCGGGUUGUAAAGCUCUGUUAAUCGGGACGAAAGGCCUUCUUGCGAAUAGUGAGAAGGAUUGACGGUACCGGAAUAGAAAGCCACGGCUAACUACGUG